UACGAGGGGUGCAAACGUUAUUCGGAAUCACUAGGGCGUAAAGGGUGCGUAGACGGUGCGUUAAGUCUGUUGUGAAAGACUCUGGCCUAACUGGAGAUGUGCAAUAGAUACUGGCGUGCUAGAGGGUGGAAGAGAGAAGUGGAAUUCCCGGAGUAGCGGUAAAAUGCGUAGAUCUCGGGAGGAACACCGAUGGCGAAAGCAGCUUCUUGGUCCAUUCCUGACGUUGAGGCACGAAAGCGUGGGGAGCAAA
Molecule: ribosomal RNA, 250 nt
Filed under: uncultured bacterium
Lineage: Bacteria
Description: partial 16S ribosomal RNA
Rfam family: Bacterial small subunit ribosomal RNA
Source: RNAcentral